AAUCAGCCAACAAGUUGCUCCUUCGUCUUCUCCACUCGUUUGUCUUCUGACAUUCGGGGCCAUUAGUUCAGUUUGCUGCUUUUACAGCAAUUUGGAAUUAAUUAGAUCUAGCCCUGUAGUCUUAAUUCACUGAUGGCGCUCCACCUUCACUUUAGAUCUGCUUGCUGUUGAGAGGUUGAGGUUCAGAUCUUAGUCCCAGAUUUUAUGGUUUCACCUCUUCCCGUGCAGCAGAGGUUACACUUGUGUGUGUGUGUGUGUGUGUUGGAGUACUUUACUAGAGUCGACUGCCUUCUGAACUGGGUGCCAACUGGCGGCCUAAUUUAGUUGGCCUGGAAGGAUGACAAGAUCAUAAUUUACCUUGCUCGUUACUAUUUGGCAAGGCUGGACAGUUGAGGGUUCUGUGUUUGUGCUGAAUUUAGUAGUUCUUCACAUCUCUGUUAUGGAGAUGCCGAAUUGUGCAGGUUCCUUAGAUCUGUUAAGUUGGGUUAAGAAUCUCUUGAUUGUACCAAAUUUUGGCACACAACUGGUACUUUGUUAUAGUGUCUCGGACUGAACUGGUCAGGUUGAGUUGUGGCACACUCAAAGCGGUAAUUACUUAUUCCAGCGGAAGGAUAUUAGUAGCAGGUUCCCACAAUAGUGUUGCACCUUUGAUGUCGCUGUUUCAUAACAGAUUUAUUUUUAGUCUUUUUCGAUAAAGGGCGAUUUUAUUAUCUCAGAAUGUAGCAUCAAGGGGAUACAAAACAUUAUGAGUAACACCCGGCCUCUGCAUAACUGAGAUGCACACAACCAAAUCCAAAAGUCUGACAAAAAACAUGAAAUAUAAACCGACAUAUCGGCAACAGUAAAGUCCUAUAGACCGACACUAUGCCUAUGUCGAAGGUGGUGGUGGAUCGAUCCGGAGGUUAUGCUGCCACCCAUGUUGGAAAAAACCCUCCGUAGCCACCUGCUUCAACCGCGUACAUACCGCCUUGAACAGCGAUUGGUGCUCCGAUCGUUGUAGCAUAGACCAUGUAUGAAGCGAUUGCGUACAACGGAAAAUAACCUGCAGAGGAGAAGCAUUUUUCCAUUAAAAACCAAAUCGUUUCUACAUAGCCAGAGCGACCAAAUUAAGGCGUACGCCCCCACCCUUAUAAGCGCUUUAAACAUAUUUGGAAUACCGUCCAACCAGUGACCAAAUAUAUUGGCAACACUUGUGGGCGGAUAUAAAUUUGACGCUAUUUGGAUGAUUGACCACGUAGAACGUGCAAACUUGCAUUGGAAAAAGAGGUGUUUGAUUGUCUCGUCAUGAGUACAAAAACAACACUUCUUACUCCCUGGACAGUUGCGUCGUGUGAGGUUGUUUUUGGUCAACACAACUCCCUUACGAAGAUUUAUUUUUAGUCUAAGGUGUAACGAUCAACUCAUAAGUGAUACAAGAGGUGCUGUUCACUUUUGUCAUUGCCUUGUUUUGAUUUUUCAUCAGGUUUGUUUCGUACAAGGAACUGCCCACUUUUGUGACAUUUGAAGCUAUUCCUAAAUAAACACCUUGAUUUAUUUUAGGUAGGACUCGUUCACUUUGGCACACAUGAUAGAUAUGCUAGAUAACUUUUAUUGGUGAUUAUAAAUGCAAAAAAAGGACAGUCCGGUGCACGUAGCUCCCGCUUGCGCAGGGUCUAGGGAAGGGGAGCCUUGGCGAUUAUAAAUGUCAAACUAACACAAAUGUACUUUUACUGCAAAGUGCAUUUCUUUUGAUGAAGGAGUUUUUAUUGACUCAUAAUGCUGCAUUAGGAGAAUACAAGUAUCAUGAAUACACACCUGGCUGUGCACGACUAGGAUGCACACACACGAACAAACAUGCGGCCAUAAAGUUGUUGGUGCCGCCAUGAACCCACAUGGGGCUAUCCGGCAGCUUUGCCCCGUCUUUACUGAAGUCCACCGGGGGUGGCUCAGGAGACGACGCCGUGCAUCUAGGUAGGUGAACUAGCAAGGAGGCCACGUCUAGGUUUGAUCACCCGUCGUCCGACGUUGUAAGGACGCGCUUGCGUCAUCCAACCAUUGUCGCAUGCUUCAUGUCCACAACAUCACGCACGAAACCGAUCUUCCAUGUGCUACACUCAUGUCGAUCCACUACUGCCAUACACCUUGUGUUUGCCAGCAACAUUCCACGCUCGCCACCUCCCCAAAUCUUUAGGCCGACGCCGCCACCAUAGGGCUGGUCAGACGAGGCUGCCACCACCAUCGACCUUUCAAUAUGGCGCACGACGCAAAUGUCGCCGCUGCCCACCGCGAACGUCACGGCCAUUCCCAUCGCUGUCCAUAGCCGGUGGAUGAUGCUGACCACCUACAGCUGCAAACGACAUGAGAGCCGAUGCGAGCCGUCCUAGAGGCGCCGCCCCGGCAUCCAGGCCACAACUGCUGCCCUGCCACGCAGCCACUAGCACCGACACGCAUCACCUGAACCAGCAGGGAGGGUGCCAUCAGGCAGAACCCACACUACCUGCCGCCUCCACAACUCCGGUGCUAAAAGCCGGGGCACCCAACCAUCGCAGCCGCGCAGCCAUGGAGGACGAGCCAGAUUGGGUCAGCAGCCGCGCGACUGACGGGGCAAGCUAUAACCGGCCAAAGCAAGCCAGAUCUGACAACCACUGGAGGGACUCAUGGGCGAGCCAAAGCUGACCGUGCCAAGGCUCGUCGGAGAGAGGCUGCUCCCCAUCGGAGACGUCAUCAGGGAAGUCGUCGACCGUUGUGCCGUGCAACAAAGAGAGGGGCCGCCGGGCGUGAAGAAAGUGCCAUCGUUGGUGGAGGCGCAGGGCGGAGCGCCCUGUCGCCACUAUCCUAGGCACCUGCGCAUGCUUCGCGAAGGUUUGCCUUUGGUGGCGGCGAGACGGGAGGGAGGAAGAUGGGUUGGAGUUGGCGGCACAAGAUUCCCCGAGUCGCCGGACAUAGGCGAUGUAGGGGUCAAGUAUGAUUUAACUUGAAAGAGUACUUAGAGCAUCUCCAACACCAGCUCUAUUUUAGGGCACCAAAUAGCUGUUGCAAUAAAAUUUGAGGCACCAAAACAUGAUUUUAAGGGCGCCAAUAGCUGCCCUAAAAUAGGGCACUUCAAAUAUGCAAAUAAUUUAUUUUGAACAUACAGACAUUGCAUAGUUCACUUCAAACAUUCUAAUUUUGAGCAUUCAAACAUUGCAUAGAUUAAAUGAACAUCCAAAUUACUAGAUCACCCUAACAUUACUACGAUCGACUCCUACGGACGCCCUACAGGUUGUCCCAGCCAAGGUCGUCGGACUCGUCACUCUCGUCAUCAAACUCAACCUCGUCGUUGGACUCAAGCUGACCACGCCGGAGGGGCCAGCCUCGUCCUCCGUCUUCUCCUCCGCCUUUGCGCUGGUCCCUCUCCUAGAACCACUUGGCAUCUGCCUGCAUGAGGUGCAGAUUUUCCACAACAAUCCUCACAUUGUCGUCUCAUCGCUCUCCCGAGUGACGAUGUGGGUCUCCCUCUUCGUCGGGCGGGACUCAAUGGUCACUUGAGGUCCGAUGAACUCCGCGUCCGCCCGCGUCUCGAUCUCCAGGAAGUUUAGCUAGUGCAGUGGCUGGCCGAGCCCCCACAUGGUGGUGGUGGUGCGGUCGAUUGGAAGAAGUGAACGGCUGAUCCGAGCGUUGGGGUGGUUCGGCUGUGGUGGGAGUGGCCGGAUUCAAUGGUGUGGCGGCAGUGUGGGAGGGGAAUCUGCUGCGGGCGGCUGUGGUGGGCUGCAGGAAGUUCCAGACAGGGACAGUUGGGCUGCGCACGCUGCGGCUUUGCUUUUGCAUCAGCCGUGCGCGUGCCGCAAAUACGUAGCUGGCGGUGCCUUCUUUUUGUAUGCCCAAAAAACUUUUUGCAGAAAUUUCCAACAAGGGCAGCAGUGGGGUUUUUUGGGAUCCAAAUGCCCAGUAAAACGGUUAUGCCCUAAAACAGGGCUGCUGUUGGAGAUGCUCAUAUGUAGCAUUUGCCCUUGAUAUUUUGUAUUAUUUCCUCUGAUGUUAAUGAAAUCUUUACGGUGCAUGUUUUGUACUCCCGCCGUUCCUAAAUAUUUAUCUUUUAGAGAUUUCAAAUGGACUACCAUAUACGGAUGUAUAUAGACAUAUUUUAGAGUGUAGGUUCACUCAUUUUGCUCCGUAUGUAGUCACUUGUUGAAAUCUCUAGAAAGACAAAUAUUUCGGAACGGAGGGAGUAGUAUCCUCUUAUUUUCAUACUCCCUCCGGAAAUACUUAUUAAAGGAAUGGAUGUAUCUAGAUGUAUUUUAAUUUUAUAUACAUCCAUUUUUGUAACAAGUAAUUUCGGACGGAGGCAGUACGUCUAUUGUUGUGCUAACCACUAGCAACAGCUGUAUUGUUACAAUAAAUUAAUGAUAACAUGUUUAUAUGCUCCGUACUCCCGAUCCAUAUUACUUGUCGCUCAAACGGGUGUAUCUAGCACUGAAAUACGUCUAGGUACAUCCAUUCGAGAGACAAGUAAUAUGGAUCGGAGGGAUUAUCUCUUUUGACCAGAGGUGUGUGAGUACAUGCUUAUGUUAAGUUUUUCAAUGAACUGUCGAACUACUUUAGUUUUUUGAGCACUGUGUGACUGAAUUGUUUAUCUUAUCUUCCUUGCAGUCAUGCGUUCGGAUUUUCUAAACAGUUCUAAAGUCAGCGCCAAUAAAUGGCUUCACUUCCCUAGUGACCUUAGCUAGCCCAACCUUGAAUAAUUUAGACCUGCCAUAGUCUGACCAUUCUCACCAGUUUGGAACCGGUUUCACUUCUACUAGGAUUGUGAAGCUCGUUGAAGACGAUGGCCACGUGCUGCAGGUGCUCCGCCCACGACGAGCUGUAGAUAAGAAUGUCAUCAAAGAAAACGAGCACAAACCGUCGCAAGUAGGGGCAGAGGACGUCGUUCAUCAAGGCUUGAAAUGUCGUCGGGGCAUUCAAGAGGCCGAAGGGCAUCAACAAGAACUCGAAGUGGCCGUGAUAAGUGCGAAAGGCCGUCUUCGCGACAUCGUCCGGGUGCAUCCGCACCUGGUGGUAGCCCGAAUGGAGGUCGAGCUUGGUGAAGAAGCGAGCCCCGCGUAGCUCGUCCAGGAGUUCAUCAACGACGGGGAUAGGAAAUUUGUCCUUGGACGUCUUGGCGUUGAGAGCACGGUAGUCGAUGCAGAAACGCCACGAGUCGUCGGACUUGCAAACAAGGUGAAGGAAAUAUGCCCUAGAGGCAAUAAUAAAGUUAUUAUUUAUUUCCUUAUAUCAUGAUAAAUGUUUAUUAUUCAUGCUAGAAUUGUAUUAACCGGAAACAUAAUACAUGUGUGAAUACAUAAACAAACAGAGUGUCACUAGUAUGCCUCUACUUGACUAGCUCGUUAAUCAAAGAUGGUUAUGUUUCCUAGCCAUAGACAUGAGUUGUCAUUUGAUUAACGGGAUCACCUCAUUAGGAGAAUGACGUGAUUGACUUGACCCAUUCCGUUAGCUUAGCACCCGAUCGUUUAGUAUGUUGCUAUUGCUUUCUUCAUGACUUAUACAUGUUCCUAUGACUAUGAGAUUAUGCAACUCCCGUUUACCGGAGGAACACUUUGUGUGCUACCAAACGUCACAACGUAAAUGGGUGAUUAUAAAGGUGCUCUACAGGUGUCUCCAAAGGUACUUGUUGGGUUGGCGUAUUUCGAGAUUAGGAUUUGUCACUCCGAUUGUCGGAGAGGUAUCUCUGGGCCCACUCGGUAAUGCACAUCACUAUAAGCCUUGCAAGCAUUGUGACUAAUAAGUUAGUUGCGGGAUGAUGUGUUACGGAACGAGUAAAGAGACUUGCCGGUAACGAGAUUGAACUAGGUAUCGAGAUACCGACGAUCGAAUCUCGGGCAAGUAACAUACCGAUGACAAAGGAAACAACGUAUGUUGUUAUGCGGUCUGACCGAUAAAGAUCUUCGUAGAAUAUGUGGGAGCCAAUAUGGGCAUCCAGGUCCCGCUAUUGGUUAUUGACCGGAGAUGUGUCUCGGUCAUGUCUACAUAGUUCUCGAACCCGUAGGGUCCGCACGCUUAAAGUUACGAUGACAGUUUUAUUAUGAGUUUAUGUAUGUUGAUGUACCGAAGGAGUUCGGAGUCCCGGAUGAGAUCGGGGACAUGACGAGGAGUCUCGAAAUGGUCGAGACGUAAAGAUCGAUAUAUUGGACGACUAUAUUCGGACUUCGGAAAGGUUCCGAGUGAUUCGGGUAUUUUUCGGAGUACCGGAGAGUUACGGGAAUACGUAUUGGGCCUUAUUGGGCCAUACGGGAAAGAAGGAAAAUGGCCUCAAGGGUGGCCGCACCCCUCCCCUUGGUCUGGUCCGAAUUGGGCUAGGGAAGGGGGGCGCCCCCUUCCUUCCUUCUCUUUUUCCCUUCCUCUUUUCCUAUUCCAUAUGGGAGGUGGAAUCCUACUAGGACUAGGGAGUCCUAGUAGGACUCCACACUUGGUGCGCCCCCUCCUAGGGCCGGCCUCCUCCUCCCUUGCUCCUUUAUAUACGGGGGCAGGGGGCACCCCAUAGACACAACAAUUGAUCCUUGAGAUCUCUUAGCCGUGUGCGGUGCCCCCCUCCACCAUAUUACACCUCGAUAAUACCGUUGCGGAGCUUAGGCGAAGCCCUGCGUCGGUGGAACAUCGUCAUCGUCACCACGCCGUCGUGCUGACGAAACUCUCCCUCAACACUCGGCUGGAUCGGAGUUCGAGGGACGUCAUCGAGCUGAACGUGUGUAGAACUCGGAGGUGCCGUGCGUUCGGUACUUGAUCGGUCGGAUCGUGAAGACGUACGACUACAUCAACCGCGUUGUGAUAACGCUUCCGCUUUCGGUCUACGAGGGUACGUGGACAACCCUCUCCCCUCUCGUUGCUAUGCAUCACCAUGAUCUUGCGUGUGCGUAGGAAAUUUUUUGAAAUUACUACGUUCCCCAACAGUGGCAUCCGAGCCUGGUUUUAUGCGUUGAUGCUAUGCACGAGUAGAACACAAGUGAGUUGUGGGCGAUAUAAGUCAUACUGCUUACCAGCAUGUCAUACUUUGGUUCAGCGGUAUUGUGAGAUGAAGCGGCCCGGACCGACAUUACGCGUACGCUUACGCGAGACUGGUUUCACCGUUCGGAGCACUCGUUGCUUAAAGGUGACUGGCGGGUGUCUGUCUCUCUCACUUUAGUUGAACCGAGUGUGGCUACGCCCGGUCCUUGCGAAGGUUAAAACAGCACCAACUUGACAAACUAUCGUUGUGGUUUUGAUGCGUAGGUAAGAACGGUUCUUGCUAAGCCCGUAGCAGCCACGUAAAACUUGCAACAACAAAGUAGAGGACGUCUAACUUGUUUUUGCAGGGCAUGUUGUGAUGUGAUAUGGUCAAGACAUGAUGUGAUAUAAUGUGUUGUAUGAGAUGAUCAUGUUUUGUAACCGAGUUAUCGGCAACUGGCAGGAGCCAUAUGGUUGUCGCUUUAUUGUAUGAGAUGCAAUCGCCAUGUAAUAGUUUUACUUUAUCACUAAGCGGUAGCGAUAGUCGUAAAAGCAAUAAGUUGGCGAGACGACAACGAUGCUACGAUGGAGAUCAAGGUGUCGCGCCGGUGACGAUGGUGAUCAUGACGAUGCUUCGGAGAUGGAGAUCACAAGCACGGUGCUUCGGAGAUGGAGAUCACAAGCACAAGAUGAUGAUGGCCAUAUCAUAUCACUUAUAUUGAUUGCAUGUGAUGUUAAUCCUUUAUGCAUCUUAUCUUGCUUUGAUUGACGGUAGCAUUAUAAGAUGAUCUCUCACUAAAAUUUCAAGAUAAAAGUGUUCUCCCUGAGUAUGCACCGUUGUAAAAGUUCUUCGUGCUGAGACACCACGUGUUAAUCGGGUGUGAUAGGCUCUACGUUCAAAUACAACGGGUGCAAAACAGUUGCACACGCGAAAUACUCAGGUUAAACUUGACGAGCCUAGCAUAUACAGAUAUGGCCUCGGAACACAGAGACCGAAAGGUCGAGCGUGAAUCAUAUAGUAGAUAUGAUCAACAUAGUGAUGUUCACCAUUGAAACUACUCCAUCUCACGUGUUAAUCGGACAUGGUUUAGUUGCUUUGGAUCACGUAAUCACUUAGAUGAUUAGAGGGAUGUCUAUCUAAGUGGGAGUUCUUAAGUAAUAUGAUUAAUUGAACUUAAAUUUAUCAUGAACUUAGUCCUGAUAGUAUUUUGCAAAUUAUGUUGUAGAUCAAUAGCUCGCGUUGUUGCUUCCCUGUGUUUAUUUUUUGAUAUGUUCCUAGAGAAAAAUUAUGUUGAAAGAUGUUAGUAGCAAAGAUGCGGAUUGGAUCCGUGAUCUGAGGAUUAUCCUCAUUGCUGCACAGAAAAAUUAUGUCCUUGAUGCACCGCUAGGUGACAGACCUAUUGCAGGAGCAGAUGCAGACGUUAUGAACGUUUGGCUAGCUCAAUAUGAUGACUACUUGAUAGUUUAGUGCACCAUGCUUAACGGCUUAGAAUCGGGACUUCAAAGACAUUUUGAACGUCAUGGACCAUAUGAGAUGUUCCAGGAGUUGAAGUUAAUAUUUCAAGCAAAUACCCGAGUUGAGAGAUAUGAAAUCUCCAACAAGUUCUAUAGCAAAAAGAUGGAGGGGAAUCGCUCAACUAGUGAGCAUGUGCUCAGAUUGUCUGGGUACUACAAUCGCUUGAAUCAAGUGGGAGUUUAUCUUCCAGAUAAAAUAGUGAUUGACAGAAUUCUCUAGUCACCAUCACCAAGUUAGUAGAACUUCGUGAUGAUCUAUAGUAUGCAAGGGAUGACGAAAGUAAUUCCCGAGCUCUUCGUGAUGCUGAAAUCGACAAAGGUAGAAAUCAAGAAAAACAUCAAGUGUUGAUGGUUGACGAGACCACUAGUUUCAAGAAAAGGGCAAAGGGAAAAAGGGGAACUUCAAGAAGAACGGCAAGCAAGUUGCUGCUCAAGUGAAGAAGCCUAAGUCUGGUCCUAAGCCUGAGACUAAGUGCUUCUACUGCAAAGGGACUGGUCACUGGAAGCGGAACUACCCCAACUAUUUGGUGGAUAAGAAGGAUGGCAAAGUGAACAAAGGUAUAUUUGAUAUACAGAUUAUUGAUGUGUACUUUACUAGUGUUUAUAGCAACCCCUCGGUAAUUGAUACUGGUUCAGUUGCUAAGAGUAGUAACUCGAAACGGGAGUUGCAGAAUAAACAGAGACUAGUAAAAGUGAACAAAGGUAUAUUUGAUAUACAGAUUAUUGAUGUGUACUUUACUAGUGUUUAUAGCAACCCCUCGGUAAUUGAUACUGGUUCAGUUGCUAAAGAGUAGUAACUCGAAAACGGGAGUUGCAGAAUAAACAGAGACUAGUAAAAGGCGAGGUGACGAUGUGUGUUGGAAGUAGUUCGAAGAUUGAUAUGAUCAUCAUCGCACACUCCCUGUACUUCCGGGAUUAGUGUUGAAACUAAAUAAGUGUUAUUUGGUGUUUGCGUUGAGCAUGAAUAUGAUUUGAUCAUGUUUAUUGCAAUACGGUUAUUCAUUUAAAUUAGAGAACAAUUGUUGUUCUGUUUACAUGAAUAAAACCUUCUAUGGUCAUACACACCAACGAAAAUGGUUUGUUGGAUCUCGAUCGUAGUGAUACACAUAUUCAUAAUAUUGAAGCCAAAAGAUGCAAAGUUAAUAAUGAUAGUGCAACUUAUUUGUGGCACUGCCGUUUAGGUCAUAUUGGUGUCAAGCGCAUGAAGAAACUCCAUACUGAUGGGAUUUUGGAAUCACUUGAUUACGAAUCACUUGAUGCUUGCGAACCGUGCCUCAUGGGCAAGAUGACUAAAACGCCGCUCUCCGGAACUAUGGAGAGAGCAACAGAUUUGUUGGAAAUCAUACAUACAGAUGUAUGUGGUCCGAUGAAUAUUGAGGCUCGUAGCAGGUAUCAUUAUUUUCUGACCUUCACAGAUGAUUUGAGCAGAUAUGGGUAUAUCUACUUAAUGAAACAAGAGCCUGAAACAUUUGAAAAGUUCAUAUAAUUUCAGAGUGAAGCAGAAAAUCAUCGUAACAAGAAAAUAAAGUUUCUACGAUCUGAUCGUGGAGAAGAGUAUUUAAGUUACGAGUUUGGCCUUCAGAUAAAACAAUGUGGAAUAGUUUCACAAAUUCAUGCCACCUGGAACACCACAUCAUAAUGGUGUGCCCGAACGUCAUAACCGUACUUUAUUGGAUAUAGUGCAAUCUAUGAUGUCUCUUACCAAUUUACCACUAAUCGUUUUGGGGGUUAUGCAUUAGAGACAGCUACAUUCACGUUAAAUAGGGCACCAUCAAAAUCCGUUGAGACGACGCCUUAUGAACUGAGGUUUAGCAAGAAACCAAAGUUGUCGUUUCUUAAAAUUUUGGGGUUGCGGUGCUUAUGUGAAAAGGUUUCAUCCUGAUAAGCUCAAACCCAAAUCGGAUAAAUGUGUCUUCAUAGGAUACCCAAAGGAGACAGUUGGGUACACCUUCUAUCAUAGAUCCGAAGGCAAGACAUUCGUUGCUUAGUAUGGAUCCUUUCUAGAGAAGGAGUUUCUCUCGAAAGAAGUGAGUGGGAGGAAAGUAGAACUUGAUGAGGUAACUGUACCUGCUCCCUUAUUGGAAAGUAGUUCAUCACAGAAAUCUGUUCCUGUGACUUCUACACCAAUUAGUGAGGAAGUUAAUGAUGAUGAUCAUGUAACUUCAGAUCAAGUUACUACCAAACCUCGUAGGUAAACCAGAGUAAGAUCCGCACCAGAGUGGUACGGUAAUCCUGUUCUGGAGGUUAUGUUACUAGACCAUAACGAACCUACGAACUAUGAAGAAGCGAUGGUGAGCCCAGAUUCCGCAAAAUGGCUUGAGGCCAUGAAAUCUGAGAUGAGAUCCAUGUAUGAGAACAAAGUGUGGACUUUGGUUGACUUGCCCGAUGAUCGGCAAGCAAUAGAAAAUAAAUGGAUCUUCAAGAGGAAGACGGACGCUGAUAGUAGUGUUACUAUCUACAAAGCUAGAAUUGUCGCAAAAGGUUUUCGACAAGUUCAAAGUGUUGACUACGAUGAGAGUUUCUCACUCGUAUCUAUGCUUAAGUCUGUCCGAAUCAUGUUAGCAAUUGCCGCAUUUUAUGAAAUAUGGCAAAUGGAUAAACAAAACUGCAUUCCUUAAUGGAUUUAUUAAAGAAGAGUUGUAUAUGAUGCAACCAGAAGGUUUUGUCAAUCCUAAAGGUGCUAACAAAAUAUGCAAGCUCCAGCGAUCCAUCUAUGGACUGGUGCAAGUAUCUCGGAGUUGGAAUAUACGCUUUGAUAAGUUGAUCAAAGGAUAUAGUUUUAUACAGACUUGCGGUGAAGCCUGUAUUUACAAGAAAGUGAGUGGGAGCACUACAACAUUUCUGAUAAGUAUAUGUGAAUGACAUAUUGUUGAUCGGAAAUAAUGUAGAAAUAUUCUACAAAGCAUAAAUGAGUGUUUGAAAGGAGUUUUCAAAGAAAGACUUCGGUGAAGCUGCUUACAUAUUGAGCAUCAAGAUCUAUAGAGAUAGAUCAAGACGCUUGAUAAAGUUUUCAAUGAGUACAUACCUUAACAAGAUUUUGAAGUAGUUCAAAAUAGAACAGUCAAAGAAAAAGUUCUUGGCUGUGUUACAAGGUGUGAAAUUGAGUAAGACUCAAAACCCGACCACGGCAGAAGAUAGAAAAAGAAUGAAAGUCAUUCCCUAUGCCUCGGCCAUAGGUUCUAUAAAGUAUGCCAUGCUGUGUACCAGAUCUAUUGUAUACCCUACACUGAUUUUGGCAAGGGAGUACAAUAGUGAUCUAGGAGUAGAUCACUAGACAGCGGUCAAAAUUAUCCUUACUGGAAUAAGGAUAUGUUUCUCGAUUAUGGAAGUGCCAAAAGGCUCGUCGUAAAAGGUUACGUCAAUGCAAGUUUUGACACUAAUCUAGAUAACUCUAAGUCUCGGUCUAGAUACAUAUUGAAAGUGGGAGCAAUUAGCUAGAGUAGCUCCAUGCAGAGCAUUGUAGACAUAGAAAUUUGCAAAAUACUUACGGAUCUGAAUAUGACAGACCCGUUGACUAAAAUUAUCUCACAAGCAAAACAUGAUCACACCUUAGUACUCUUUGGGUGUUAAUCACAUAGCAAUGUGAACUAGAUUACUGACUCUAGUAAACCUCUUGGGUGAUGGUCACAUGACGAUGUGAACUAUGGGUGUUAAUCACAUGGUGAUGUGAACUAUUCAUGUUAAAUCACAUGGCGAUGUGAACUAGAUUAUUGACUCUAGUGCAAGUGGGAGAAUGAAGGAAAUAUGCCCUAGAGGCAAUAAUAAAGUUAUUAUUUAUUUCCUUAUAUCAUGAUAAAUGUUUAUUAUUCAUGCUAGAAUUGUAUUAACCGGAAACAUAAUACAUGUGUGAAUACAUAGACAAACAGAGUGUCACUAGUAUGCCUCUACUUGACUAGCUCGUUAAUCAAAGAUGGUUAUGUUUCCUAGCCAUAGACAUGAGUUGUCAUUUGAUUAACGGGAUCACCUCAUUAGGAGAAUGACGUGAUUGACUUGACCCAUUCCGUUAGCUUAGCACCCGAUCGUUUAGUAUGUUGCUAUUGCUUUCUUCAUGACUUAUACAUGUUCCUAUGACUAUGAGAUUAUGCAACUCCCAUUUACCAGAGGAACACUUUGUGUGCUACCAAACGUCACAACGUAAAUGGGUGAUUAUAAAGGUGCUCUACAGGUGUCUCCAAAGGUACUUGUUGGGUUGGCGUAUUUCGAGAUUAGGAUUUGUCACUCCGAUUGUCGGAGAGGUAUCUCUGGGCCCACUCGGUAAUGCACAUCACUAUAAGCCUUGCAAGCAUUGUGACUAAUAAGUUAGUUGCGGGAUGAUGUGUUACGGAACGAGUAAAGAGACUUGCCGGUAACGAGAUUGAACUAGGUAUCGAGAUACCGACGAUCAAAUCUCGGGCAAGUAACAUACCGGUGACAAAGGGAACAACGUAUGUUGUUAUGCGGUCUAACCGAUAAAGAUCUUCGUAGAAUAUGUGGGAGCCAAUAUGGGCAUCCAGGUCCCGCUAUUGGUUAUUGACCGGAGACGUGUCUCGGUCAUGUCUACAUAGUUCUCGAACCCGUAGGGUCCGCACGCUUAAAGUUACGAUGACAGUUUUAUUAUGAGUUUAUGUAUGUUGAUGUACCGAAGGAGUUCGGAGUCCCGGAUGAGAUCGGGGACAUGACGAGGAGUCUCGAAAUGGUCGAGACGUAAAGAUCGAUAUAUUGGACGACUAUAUUCGGACUUCGGAAAGGUUCCGAGUGAUUCGGGUAUUUUUCGGAGUACCGGAGAGUUACGGGAAUACGUAUUGGGCCUUAUUGGGCCAUACGGGAAAGAAGAAAAAGGGCCUCAAGGGUGGCCGCACCCCUUCCCUUGGUCUGGUCCGAAUUGGACUAGGGAAGGGGGGCGCCCCCUUCCUUCCUUCUCUUUUUCCCUUCCUCUUUUCCUAUUCCAUAUGGGAGGUGGAAUCCUACUAGGACUAGGGAGUCCUAGUAGGACUCCACACUUGGUGCGCCCCCUCCUAGGGCCGGCCUCCUCCUCCCUUGCUCCUUUAUAUACGGGGGCAGGGGGCACCCCAUAGACACAACAAUUGAUCCUUGAGAUCUCUUAGCCGUGUGCGGUGCCCCCCUCCACCAUAUUACACCUCGAUAAUACCGUUGCGGAGCUUAGGCGAAGCCCUGCGUCGGUGGAACAUCGUCAUCGUCACCACGCCGUCGUGCUGACGAAACUCUCCCUCAACACUCGGCUGGAUCGGAGUUCGAGGGGCGUCAUCGAGCUGAACGUGUGUAGAACUCGGAGGUGCCGUGCGUUCGGUACUUGAUCGGUCGGAUCGUGAAGACGUACGACUACAUCAACCGCGUUGUGAUAACGCUUCCGCUUUCGGUCUACGAGGGUACGUGGACAACGCUCUCCCCUCUCGUUGCUAUGCAUCACCAUGAUCUUGCGUGUGCGUAGGAAUUUUUUUGAAAUUACUACGUUCCCCAACAGUGGCAUCCGAGCCUGGUUUUAUGCGUUGAUGCUAUGCACGAGUAGAACACAAGUGAGUUGUGGGCGAUAUAAGUCAUACUGCUUACCAGCAUGUCAUACUUUGGUUCAGCGGUAUUGUGAGAUGAAGCGGCCCGGACCGACAUUACGCGUACGCUUACGCGAGACUGGUUUCACCGUUCGGAGCACUCGUUGCUUAAAGGUGACUGGCGGGUGUCUGUCUCUCUCACUUUAGUUGAACCGAGUGUGGCUACGCCCGGUCCUUGCGAAGGUUAAAACAGCACCAACUUGACAAACUAUCGUUGUGGUUUUGAUGCGUAGGUAAGAACGGUUCUUGCUAAGCCCGUAGCAGCCACGUAAAACUUGCAACAACAAAGUAGAGGACGUCUAACUUGUUUUUGCAGGGCAUGUUGUGAUGUGAUAUGGUCAAGACAUGAUGUGAUAUAAUGUGUUGUAUGAGAUGAUCAUGUUUUGUAACCGAGUUAUCGGCAACUGGCAGGAGCCAUAUGGUUGUCGCUUUAUUGUAUGAGAUGCAAUCGCCAUGUAAUAGUUUUACUUUAUCACUAAGCGGUAGCGAUAGUCGUAAAAGCAAUAAGUUGGCGAGACGACAACGAUGCUACGAUGGAGAUCAAGGUGUCGCGCCGGUGACGAUGGUGAUCAUGACGAUGCUUCGGAGAUGGAGAUCACAAGCACGGUGCUUCGGAGAUGGAGAUCACAAGCACAAGAUGAUGAUGGCCAUAUCAUAUCACUUAUAUUGAUUGCAUGUGAUGUUAAUCCUUUAUGCAUCUUAUCUUGCUUUGAUUGACGGUAGCAUUAUAAGAUGAUCUCUCACUAAAAUUUCAAGAUAAAAGUGUUCUCCCUGAGUAUGCACCGUUGUAAAAGUUCUUCGUGCUGAGACACCACGUGUUAAUCGGGUGUGAUAGGCUCUACGUUCAAAUACAACGGGUGCAAAACAGUUGCACACGCGGAAUACUCAUGUUAAACUUGACGAGCCUAGCAUAUACAGAUAUGGCCUCGGAACACAGAGACCGAAAGGUCGAGCGUGAAUCAUAUAGUAGAUAUGAUCAACAUAGUGAUGUUCACCAUUGAAACUACUCCAUCUCACGUGUUAAUCGGACAUGGUUUAGUUGCUUUGGAUCACGUAAUCACUUAGAUGAUUAGAGGGAUGUCUAUCUAAGUGGGAGUUCUUAAGUAAUAUGAUUAAUUGAACUUAAAUUUAUCAUGAACUUAGUCCUGAUAGUAUUUUGCAAAUUAUGUUGUAGAUCAAUAGCUCGCGUUGUUGCUUCCCUGUGUUUAUUUUUUGAUAUGUUCCUAGAGAAAAAUUAUGUUGAAAGAUGUUAGUAGCAAAGAUGCGGAUUGGAUCCGUGAUCUGAGGAUUAUCCUCAUUGCUGCACAGAAAAAUUAUGUCCUUGAUGCACCGCUAGGUGACAGACCUAUUGCAGGAGCAGAUGCAGAUGUUAUGAACGUUUGGCUAGCUCAAUAUGAUGACUACUUGAUAGUUUAGUGCACCAUGCUUAACGGCUUAGAAUCGGGACUUCAAAUACGUUUUGAACGUCAUGGACCAUAUGAGAUGUUCCAGGAGUUGAAGUUAAUAUUUCAAGCAAAUACCCGAGUUGAGAGAUAUGAAAUCUCCAACAAGUUCUAUAGCAAAAAGAUGGAGGGGAAUCGCUCAACUAGUGAGCAUGUGCUCAGAUUGUCUGGGUACUACAAUCGCUUGAAUCAAGUGGGAGUUUAUCUUCCAGAUAAAAUAGUGAUUGACAGAAUUCUCUAGUCACCAUCACCAAGUUAGUAGAACUUCGUGAUGAUCUAUAGUAUGCAAGGGAUGACGAAAGUAAUUCCCGAGCUCUUCGUGAUGCUGAAAUCGACAAAGGUAGAAAUCAAGAAAAACAUCAAGUGUUGAUGGUUGACGAGACCACUAGUUUCAAGAAAAGGGCAAAGGGAAAAAGGGGAACUUCAAGAAGAACGGCAAGCAAGUUGCUGCUCAAGUGAAGAAGCCUAAGUCUGGUCCUAAGCCUGAGACUAAGUGCUUCUACUGCAAAGGGACUGGUCACUGGAAGCGGAACUACCCCAACUAUUUGGUGGAUAAGAAGGAUGGCAAAGUGAACAAAGGUAUAUUUGAUAUACAGAUUAUUGAUGUGUACUUUACUAGUGUUUAUAGCAACCCCUCGGUAAUUGAUACUGGUUCAGUUGCUAAGAGUAGUAACUCGAAACGGGAGUUGCAGAAUAAACAGAGACUAGUAAAAGUGAACAAAGGUAUAUUUGAUAUACAGAUUAUUGAUGUGUACUUUACUAGUGUUUAUAGCAACCCCUCGGUAAUUGAUACUGGUUCAGUUGCUAAAGAGUAGUAACUCGAAAACGGGAGUUGCAGAAUAAACAGAGACUAGUAAAAGGCGAGGUGACGAUGUGUGUUGGAAGUAGUUCGAAGAUUGAUAUGAUCAUCAUCGCACACUCCCUGUACUUCCGGGAUUAGUGUUGAAACUAAAUAAGUGUUAUUUGGUGUUUGCGUUGAGCAUGAAUAUGAUUUGAUCAUGUUUAUUGCAAUACGGUUAUUCAUUUAAAUUAGAGAACAAUUGUUGUUCUAUUUACAUGAAUAAAACCUUCUAUGGUCAUACACACCAACGAAAAUGGUUUGUUGGAUCUCGAUCGUAGUGAUACACAUAUUCAUAAUAUUGAAGCCAAAAGAUGCAAAGUUAAUAAUGAUAGUGCAACUUAUUUGUGGCACUGCCGUUUAGGUCAUAUUGGUGUCAAGCGCAUGAAGAAACUCCAUACUGAUGGGAUUUUGGAAUCACUUGAUUACGAAUCACUUGAUGCUUGCGAACCGUGCCUCAUGGGCAAGAUGACUAAAACGCCGCUCUCCGGAACUAUGGAGAGAGCAACAGAUUUGUUGGAAAUCAUACAUACAGAUGUAUGUGGUCCGAUGAAUAUUGAGGCUCGUAGCAGGUAUCAUUAUUUUCUGACCUUCACAGAUGAUUUGAGCAGAUAUGGGUAUAUCUACUUAAUGAAACAAGAGCCUGAAACAUUUGAAAAGUUCAUAUAAUUUCAGAGUGAAGCAGAAAAUCAUCGUAACAAGAAAAUAAAGUUUCUACGAUCUGAUCGUGGAGAAGAGUAUUUAAGUUACGAGUUUGGCCUUCAGAUAAAACAAUGUGGAAUAGUUUCACAAAUUCAUGCCACCUGGAACACCACAUCAUAAUGGUGUGCCCGAACGUCAUAACCGUACUUUAUUGGAUAUAGUGCAAUCUAUGAUGUCUCUUACCAAUUUACCACUAAUCGUUUUGGGGGUUAUGCAUUAGAGACAGCUACAUUCACGUUAAAUAGGGCACCAUCAAAAUCCGUUGAGACGACGCCUUAUGAACUGAGGUUUAGCAAGAAACCAAAGUUGUCGUUUCUUAAAAUUUUGGGGUUGCGGUGCUUAUGUGAAAAGGUUUCAUCCUGAUAAGCUCAAACCCAAAUCGGAGAAAUGUGUCUUCAUAGGAUACCCAAAGGAGACAGUUGGGUACACCUUCUAUCAUAGAUCCGAAGGCAAGACAUUCGUUGCUUAGUAUGGAUCCUUUCUAGAGAAGGAGUUUCUCUCGAAAGAAGUGAGUGGGAGGAAAGUAGAACUUGAUGAGGUAACUGUACCUGCUCCCUUAUUGGAAAGUAGUUCAUCACAGAAAUCUGUUCCUGUGACUUCUACACCAAUUAGUGAGGAAGUUAAUGAUGAUGAUCAUGUAACUUCAGAUCAAGUUACUACCAAACCUCGUAGGUAAAACAGAGUAAGAUCCGCACCAGAGUGGUACGGUAAUCCUGUUCUGGAGGUUAUGUUACUAGACCAUAACGAACCUACGAACUAUGAAGAAGCGAUGGUGAGCCCAGAUUCCGCAAAAUGGCUUGAGGCCAUGAAAUCUGAGAUGAGAUCCAUGUAUGAGAACAAAGUGUGGACUUUGGUUGACUUGCCCGAUGAUCGGCAAGCAAUAGAAAAUAAAUGGAUCUUCAAGAGGAAGACGGACGCUGAUAGUAGUGUUACUAUCUACAAAGCUAGAAUUGUCGCAAAAGGUUUUCGACAAGUUCAAAGUGUUGACUACGAUGAGAGUUUCUCACUCGUAUCUAUGCUUAAGUCUGUCCGAAUCAUGUUAGCAAUUGCCGCAUUUUAUGAAAUAUGGCAAAUGGAUAAACAAAACUGCAUUCCUUAAUGGAUUUAUUAAAGAAGAGUUGUAUAUGAUGCAACCAGAAGGUUUUGUCAAUCCUAAAGGUGCUAACAAAAUAUGCAAGCUCCAGCGAUCCAUCUAUGGACUGGUGCAAGUAUCUCGGAGUUGGAAUAUACGCUUUGAUAAGUUGAUCAAAGGAUAUAGUUUUAUACAGACUUGCGGUGAAGCCUGUAUUUACAAGAAAGUGAGUGGGAGCACUACAACAUUUCUGAUAAGUAUAUGUGAAUGACAUAUUGUUGAUCGGAAAUAAUGUAGAAAUAUUCUACAAAGCAUAAAUGAGUGUUUGAAAGGAGUUUUCAAAAAAAGACUUCGGUGAAGCUGCUUACAUAUUGAGCAUCAAGAUCUAUAGAGAUAGAUCAAGACGCUUGAUAAAGUUUUCAAUGAGUACAUACCUUAACAAGAUUUUGAAGUAGUUCAAAAUAGAACAGUCAAAGAAAAAGUUCUUGGCUGUGUUACAAGGUGUGAAAUUGAGUAAGACUCAAAACCCGACCACGGCAGAAGAUAGAAAAAGAAUGAAAGUCAUUCCCUAUGCCUCGGCCAUAGGUUCUAUAAAGUAUGCCAUGCUGUGUACCAGAUCUAUUGUAUACCCUACACUGAUUUUGGCAAGGGAGUACAAUAGUGAUCUAGGAGUAGAUCACUAGACAGCGGUCAAAAUUAUCCUUACUGGAAUAAGGAUAUGUUUCUCGAUUAUGGAAGUGCCAAAAGGCUCGUCGUAAAAGGUUACGUCAAUGCAAGUUUUGACACUAAUCUAGAUAACUCUAAGUCUCGGUCUAGAUACAUAUUGAAAGUGGGAGCAAUUAGCUAGAGUAGCUCCAUGCAGAGCAUUGUAGACAUAGAAAUUUGCAAAAUACUUACGGAUCUGAAUAUGACAGACCCGUUGACUAAAAUUAUCUCACAAGCAAAACAUGAUCACACCUUAGUACUCUUUGGGUGUUAAUCACAUAGCAAUGUGAACUAGAUUACUGACUCUAGUAAACCUCUUGGGUGAUGGUCACAUGACGAUGUGAACUAUGGGUGUUAAUCACAUGGUGAUGUGAACUAUUCAUGUUAAAUCACAUGGCGAUGUGAACUAGAUUAUUGACUCUAGUGCAAGUGGGAGAAUGAAGGAAAUAUGCCCUAGAGGCAAUAAUAAAGUUAUUAUUUAUUUCCUUAUAUCAUGAUAAAUGUUUAUUAUUCAUGCUAGAAUUGUAUUAACCGGAAACAUAAUACAUGUGUGAAUACAUAGACAAACAGAGUGUCACUAGUAUGCCUCUACUUGACUAGCUCGUUAAUCAAAGAUGGUUAUGUUUCCUAGCCAUAGACAUAAGUUGUCAUUUGAUUAACGAUAUCACCUCAUUAGGAGAAUGACGUGAUUGACUUGACCCAUUCCGUUAGCUUAGCACCCGAUCGUUUAGUAUGUUGCUAUUGCUUUCUUCAUGACUUAUACAUGUUCCUCUGACUAUGAGAUUAUGCAACUCCCGUUUACCGGAGGAACACUUUGUGUGCUACCAAACGUCACAACGUAAAUGGGUGAUUAUAAAGGUGCUCUACAGGUGUCUCCAAAGGUACUUGUUGGGUUGGCGUAUUUCGAGAUUAGGAUUUGUCACUCCGAUUGUCGGAGAGGUAUCUCUGGGCCCACUCGGUAAUGCACAUCACUAUAAGCCUUGCAAGCAUUAUGACUAAUAAGUUAGUUGCGGGAUGAUGUGUUACGGAACGAGUAAAGAGACUUGCCGGUAACGAGAUUGAACUAGGUAUCGAGAUACCGACGAUCGAAUCUCGGGCAAGUAACAUACUGAUGACAAAGGGAACAACGUAUGUUGUUAUGCGGUCUGACCGAUAAAGAUCUUCGUAGAAUAUGUGGGAGCCAAUAUGGGCAUCCAGGUCCCGCUAUUGGUUAUUGACCGGAGACGUGUCUCGGUCAUGUCUACAUAGUUCUCGAACCCGUAGGGUCCGCACGCUUAAAGUUACGAUGACAAUUUUAUUAUGAGUUUAUGUAUGUUGAUGUACCGAAGGAGUUCGGAGUCCCGGAUGAGAUCGGGGACAUGACGAGGAGUCUCGAAAUGGUCGAGACGUAAAGAUCGAUAUAUUGGACGACUAUAUUCGGACUUCGGAAAGGUUCCGAGUGAUUCGGGUAUUUUUCGGAGUACCGGAGAGUUACGGGAAUACGUAUUGGGCCUUAUUGGGCCAUACGGGAAAGAAGGAAAAGGGCCUCAAGGGUGGCCGCACCCCUCCCCUUGGUCUGGUCCGAAUUGGGCUAGGGAAGGGGGGCGCCCCCUUCCUUCCUUCUCUUUUUCCCUUCCUCUUUUCCUAUUCCAUAUGGGAGGUGGAAUCCUACUAGGACUAGGGAGUCCUAGUAGGACUCCACACUUGGUGCGCCCCCUCCUAGGGCCGGCCUCCUCCUCCCUUGCUCCUUUAUAUACGGGGGCAGGGGGCACCCCAUAGACACAACAAUUGAUCCUUGAGAUCUCUUAGCCGUGUGCGGUGCCCCCCUCCACCAUAUUACACCUCGAUAAUACCGUUGCGGAGCUUAGGCGAAGCCCUGCGUCGGUGGAACAUCGUCAUCGUCACCACGCCGUCGUGCUGACGAAACUCUCCCUCAACACUCGGCUGGAUCGGAGUUCGAGGGACGUCAUCGAGCUGAACGUGUGUAGAACUCGGAGGUGCCGUGCGUUCGGUACUUGAUCGGUCGGAUCGUGAAGACGUACGACUACAUCAACCGCGUUGUGAUAACGCUUCCGCUUUCGGUCUACGAGGGUACGUGGACAACGCUCUCCCAUCUCGUUGCUAUGCAUCACCAUGAUCUUGCGUGUGCGUAGGAAUUUUUUUGAAAUUACCACGUUCCCCAACACAAGGAGCACCGGCACAGAGAACUAUGAUGUCGAAAUCCGGAUGAUGCCCUGGGUGAGCAUGACCGCACACUGCCACUCCAGCUCAUGCUUCUGCAGCUGGGGUUAGCGGUACGGCCGCACGGCGACAGGAGCUGUGUCCAGCAGUAGGUGGAUGCGGUGGUCGUAGGGCCGGACUGGCGGGAGGCCCUGUGGCUCGUCGAAGAGGUCGCUGUGCUGCUGGAACAGGCUAGCCAACAGGGGGUGCUCUGCGUCGACGGCGGCCGCCGUCAACCGGGGCUGGGGCACCGCCGGGGCGGCGCCACCCACGCCCUCCCAUCGGACGCGGCGCCCCAGGUGCCAGAAGAUCAUCGUCAUGGCGUCUAAAUCCCAGAGGAUGGGACCCAGGGUCCGCAAAAUGUUGACGCCGAGGAUGAAGUCGAAGCAGCCCAAGUCAAUGCCGACGCAGGUGAUGGUGAAGUGCUCGUCGCCGAUGGUGAUGGGGACAUGCCGAGCAAUACCCUUGCAGUGUAGAUGGUCACCAUUGUCCACGGUAACUUAGCUGCUCCCCGCCAAUCGGUUGCGGUGCUAGGCGUCGCAUGGUGGCCCCGGGCAAGAAGUUGUGGGUGGAGCCCGUAUGCAGCAGCGCGAGGAACCGCUCCCCGUAGAUCGUCACCGGCAGCAGCAUAGUCUUCUCCGUCCGGAUGCCCGCGAGGGCAUGGAGGGAGACCACGAGGGCGUUCGCCUGGUCGGGGCCCGGGGGAACCUCGGCAUCAAAUGGAGCGGUCGGGUCAUCGAGCCUGGUGGCGGCGGCGUCCUCCUCGAUGCAGUCUGCAGCCUCCAAGUAGAAGAGGCGCGGGAAAACAUGGCCCGGAACGUAGGGCUCGUCGCAGUUGUAGCACAACCCCUGACGACGGCGCUCGAGCUGCUCGGCCGGGGUUAGCCAACGGAAUGGGCGUGCCGCGGCCGGGGCGUUGGGUGUUGCGAGGGUCUGGGCAGGACGCCCCNNNNNNNNNNNNNNNNNNNNNNNNNNNNNNNNNNNNNNNNNNNNNNNNNNNNNNNNNNNNNNNNNNNNNNNNNNNNNNNNNNNNNNNNNNNNNNNNNNNNNNNNNNNNNNNNNNNNNNNNNNNNNNNNNNNNNNNNNNNNNNNNNNNNNNNNNNNNNNNNNNNNNNNNNNNNNNNNNNNNNNNNNNNNNNNNNNNNNNNNNNNNNNNNNNNNNNNNNNNNNNNNNNNNNNNNNNNNNNNNNNNNNNNNNNNNNNNNNNNNNNNNNNNNNNNNNNNNNNCGGGACGGUGGCGCCUGCUGCAUGGCCACCGCACGACGCUCGAAGGCGCGGGCAUAGUACAUGGCCGUCUGGAGGUCCUGUGGCGCGCGCAUCUCCACGUCCACGCGGAUGUGGUCCGGCAGACCGCCAAUGAAGAGCUCGGCCCGCUGGCGAGCCGUGACGCUGGGAGCGUGGCAAGCUAGGGCUUGGAAGCGGUCGGCGAAGUCUUGCACCGUGGAGAGAAAAGGCAGGCGCCCAAGCUCCGCCAGCCGACUCCCGCGUAUCGGCGGUCCAAAGCGCAAUAGGCAGAGCUCGCGAAAAUGCUCCCAUGGGGGCAUGCCACCCUCGUCUCGUUCGAGAGCGUAGUACCACGUUUGAGCUGCUCCCCAGAGGUGGUAUGAGGCGAUCCAGGUGCGGUCGGACGCGAGCGUGCGCUGCCCUCUAAAAAAUUGGUCGCACUGGUUGAGCCAAUUCGCGGGGUCCACGGUGCCGUCGUAGGGUGGCGAACUCGAGCUUGGAGAAUCGCAGCGGUGGCUUAGGCGUGGACGAGGGGCGGGUGUGCCUCGUCUGCGCGGAAGAGCGAGGGCGGUGGAGCCGAGUAGGCAGGCAUCAGGGUGCCGCCGUGGAACAGGGGCCCGUCGACGCCGUCGUAGCAGCCGGCGGAACCCGAGGGCCCGCCGUACUGCAUGGCAGGGUGCGGCAAGGAUGGUUGGCCCGAGGCCGUCGUAUAGACUGGCUCGAGGGAUCCGGCGAGCCAGGCCGGCAGUGGUGACGGCGAUGGGGGAAUCGGACCUGGUGGAUGGGCACACCCUGGGCCGUCGUCGGGACGCCCUGGAACGAGGACGCUGGGGGUGGCGGCUGCAGCGGCGGCACCAUGGUGGUGGCGAAGGAGGUCGCCGGGGGUGGCGGCGGCCACUGGUGCGGCUGUGGCGCCAGGGUGGUGGCGAAGGGGGCUGGCGGCGGCCCAUAGGGACCUGGUGGAACGAGCGGAUGCCCGCGACCACCUGCCCGAGCUCCUGUAGCGCCGCCGUCAUCUCCUCGGGGGUGAAGACGAUGGGGGCGGUAACCGGUGGCGUCCAGGCGGCGGAGGAGAUCGGUCCCGACAAGGGCGGCGCGGUCGUCGCGGUGGUCAUCGGCGGCGUGGUGGUGACCAGCAGCGGGAGGGUGGCGGUGGGCAGAGGGGUGGACAUGAUCGAACUGGAGACAGCUGAUACCAGAUUGAUAGGAGCUGGGUUCCUACCAGGCCGUGCCCUCAGGUUAUAGGAGUGGAAGGGAGGCUGCCGAGGUGAGGGGUGCGAGCGGCGGCGCUGGGGCGCCGUGAUCGCGUGGAAGAGAGGAAGGCGCAAGGGCGGCUAGGGUUUAGGUUUCUCGGUUCAAGAGCCGAGCAAUAGAGAUGACUUAUUGCUUAAUGCCAAAACGAGUCCUUACAAAUGUUUAUAUAAUCCUCCUAUGUGCUAAUAAAAAUAGUGAUAAGUUGGGCCAAGCCCGUAGCUGGCCGCGUGAUUGGGCCUCCUCCGGCUAUAGUAAACGCGGGUCAUAACAGAUUGUUUCUGAGUGCAUCUUGUGUCCCUCAAUACAUAGUAUAUUGAAACUUGAACUGGAUGCUCUGCCAGCACAUUGCUGUUGUCUGGCGUGACCAAAUGUUUUUCAGUACCUAGAGGUUGCGUUGAGAUUCUCUAACUUAAGUCAGGUCAGGUGAGUUAGCAGUCCGGAUCUACGCCCAACAUGUAGUAAUGUGGAAAAAGUAGAUAAUGACAUAAUUUACUAUCAACCAAAACAUUCCAAUCACAAUUCCCUAAGAAUUUUCCAUCAGCAAGAUGAUUGUUUCCCAUUUGCAGGUUGACCUUCCUCGUUGCAGCGGCGUGUUUGCUGGCAGGAUCAGUCCGUAAUGCAUACCACACCCGGUACAGGGGGAUCUUCAACGGUGACCCACUCUCUUGCGAGACGCUGCGCAAGGGUGUAUUUGCUGCUGGUGCAGCCUUCACCUUCUUCACGGCCAUCCUGAGCGAGUUCUAUUACAUCAGCUACUCCCAAUCCCGGGAUGCCGCUGGUGACACUCCAUACGGCGGCUCCAGUAUCGGCAUGGGCCCUUACAAUUAAGGAGCUCGGUGCAGGAGGUUUAAGGAGCUCCAGUAUCGGUGCAGGAGGUAGUUACGGUGUGGAUCAUGUAGCUCGUGGAGUGCGGUGUUCUUGUUAACAUUAAUUACGGUGGUAGUUACGGUGUAAUUUGGCUUGCUGUUUUCAGUAGGCUACGUAUGAGAUUACUUGGUCGGGCUUUGUACUAUUCGGAUUAUUGGAUUGGAUUCUGGAUUGGAAUUGCUUAUCCAGUUAUCCUAGUCUGCUGAUGUGAUUUUAACGGGUCGCACUAUUCGUCACAGGUGAGGAAUCGCUAUUCUUCGCCGGAUAUUCUAUUCUGAGCUCAGGCUCAGCUGAAUCUGAAAUCAGCACCAUUCGCUACCAUCUGGAUCUGUGCUUGUGACCUGUAUUUGCGUCAGGUAUAGCCAAUUAUUGCACUCAAAUAAGGCCUGUUCCUGCGUGCAUUAAUUGCGACGGCCACCGUCACCUUCAGUUGGAACAGAUGAUCCGUGCACGGCUCAGUUGAUUUCCUGUACCCGGGUGAGCCGUCUUGGUUGGUUAGCUGCUGCAAGGGACAUACAUCCGGCUCGUCUGUAUUACACAUCGCAACGAGGCAUGAUUUGUCAUUAACGAAAUAAUAUGAAUGCCAUUUUCUAUUUCCUGGGGCAUGAUUUGCAUCUUUUACACGAACGCACCUCCUCACACCAGCCAUGACCAAAAAACUACGACUAGAAAUGUACUAACAGAUGCACUCCGGCAACAACGUCGUACAUUACAACACCAAUGGUUUCGACAAUCAAAAAAGCUAGCUCACGCAUACCAGACUAUUGCCUUCAACAAGUGCUCCCAAAAUGCACACCACAGUAACUACGCCAGAGCUCUACAUGCGAGACCGAAAAAAUACAGCGACACAGACAAUCAACAAAACCAACUCUUUGUCUGCCUACGCUUACAUGAGAUGCUACCAACCUCCUCUUCGUGUGAGCAAGUGUCACUAAGGUCAAUCAACACAUACACGGUCAGGGAUCGUUUUUUUACAUCAGUUAUAGCAACACUUUAUUCGACCUGCAUGCCGGAGGUUGGGAAAUCGCCGAAACCUUCUUCCAAAAGAACCGCAACUUGAGUCCACGCCCAUUUCCUGCUUGCAGCUCGUUCCGCCUUUGCGAUCCAUGAGGACAACUUCACCCUGGAACACUUAUCACCGUGAAGCAAUCGCAUAAAACCAAAGGCAAACGUUGCCUGCUCUGAGUUUGCAGUGCUCACCUCGCCAUUAUCCUGCGCCGCUUCAUCUGGCUGUAUUAGAUCAUUCGUGUACACAUCUGUGUGCUUGGCUGUGAUUCUCAUGAUGCUCUAUUAUAUACCAACUAUUGUCAGCCGCCCACAGUAGCCGUAUCAAUGCAGGUCAAUUGCAUCUACACGACCUUCUAUUCUCUGCAUCUGGCUUACCCUGCUUUGCAAAACCAAGAGUCAUUGUCAAUUACAUUUCCAACUAUUUUAUAUUCUCUAACAAACAAAAAAAACAAAACAGAUUUAAGUACACACCGGACAGCCACAAACGAUCUCCUGCAUUGACUUUGUCCUCUCGGCAUUCAAUCUGCUUCCACACCAACAGUCCAUGGGAACAACUAGAAUCAUGCAUUGAUGUCUCAAAACAUUUUUUGCAUUUGAAAGUAGUAUUGGAGCAUGUAACCAGUCCCUUCAGUUAAAAGAUUCACUGACUUUGUUGGCAUUUAACAAAUCAAAGAAGAUAUACACCAGGUCCUCCAGGUUAAUUUUCUGUGGUCAUAAAUAUCAAGCUGUUCCAUUCGAAAAGCAAAUCUUUUUCUGAAAGGAUGGCAUGUUGUGAACAAUAACCUUUUGUAUCUACAACAAAAAAUUGCUGCCUGCAAUCACUUUGCAACAGCUGGAUUAUUUUCUCUCAUUCUCCUUGCGGUGGAUCUAAUUUUUUUUGUCAAUGCGCAGCAGCAGCGACUACCGCUUCGGCGAUGACUGUCAUUUCCUCCAUCACUUUACAAGCAGCCACAAUGGACAUGAUCAGGAUAUUACGAAAAAAGAUGAACAGCUGGAUCUAGGCGGUGAUGGGAAGCUCGGGAAGCCAAUGAGUCCUGCGAGCAGCUUCAAGACCAGACUAUGCCUAAGCUUUGUCGCCAGCGGAUGCCAGUUGGCCUAUGGCAAAGUUGAGCUGCGCAGGCCAGACGCAUCUUCAGAAGUCCAAGAUCAAGUGGUUCUCAUGCUGUUUGUGAUGAUCGUGUGUCUGCUGUUUUGCAGAAAUGCCUAAAUAUAAACUUUUCUAUUCUUGUCAUAGUCCAUUUUUUCGGUUCAAUGAAGGCAUGAUAGGCAACAAAAAUGGAUUGAACAGGAACUCACCGUAUCUCUUAUUCUCUUCCUUAAAUUUUAACUGAACAAUACAAUUCUUCAUGUAGCUGGACAACACCUCUUCCACUCCUAUUUUACAUGUAAUACAUGCAUUAUCAGCUUCUGUUGUUACCUUCUCUUGGAUAAUGAGCAGGGUAAGUGUCAGUUGGAGAGAGAUAGUGCUGACAGACAGCAAGGUCCUCAAGUUCUGGGCUGAGGAUGUAUACAAGGUUUUUGGGAUCCCUUGCGGUCAUCGCAAAAUCAAAGGCACGGAUGCCAACAUAAACCCUGAAGCAAUUUAGUUCUUAUAGGUAUUACUUGAAAUGAACAAGAUAGGGGUUCACAGCUUGCGCGCAGCAGAAGAGUUCCUUUUGGGCGACAUCAACGAGAAUUCCAGCAAGCUAGAAAAAUAUUGUUUCCAGAUAGCCUUUGUUAUAUUUGUCGUGGGCCAUGUCCUUGGUCUAUUAUGUACCAACUGUUGUCGGUCGUGCGCUGCAGCCUUAUAAAUGCAGGACACUCACAGUGGCAUGAACUACUAUUCUCUGCCUCUGGUUUCCCCAGUAUAAUUUCAUAAAAACACAAAUGCCAUCAUUUAAACACACUUGCAGCACCGAAACCCAUGGCUGCCACUUAUUUUCCAAAAUGAUAAUUACAUGAAUCAGUGUUUACCGAGCAGCCGCAGACAAUUUCUUGCAUUGACUUUGUCCUUUCGGCGUUUAGCCGGCUCUUAUAGAAGUCGCCUCGCACAAUGAAUUGAAACUUAGGCCUAGUGUGGGAUGUACUAAACUUUUCAUAGGUUCCGCAUACUUCCGAAUAGAUUGUUCCAAUGCACUCAUCCGUGAUGGGCAUGGAGUCCUGUCUGGUGGUGCACUACCGAGUCAUAACCUAAAUUUACAAACCGGCCUUCAAUAGUAAAAUACUUCCAGAAUUUGCAUAAAAGUAGUUACAGCAGCUAUACUGUUACGAUCGCCUACCAUGGUUUACAUUUCCACUGCUACAUAGAUCAGUUCCUGCAUUUUUUAUUCGUACUACUGUGAGCUCAGAUAUUAUUAUUUUGUUUGGAUAUAUGAACGUGGGGCAAACACUCUGAACAAAUGCAAUUCUACAAUGACAGUGUUUGGGGUUCAGACCUUUUCGUCCAGCGGGGGCUUGCCGGUUGAUUCUGUCAGUUGACUGCGCCAACCAAGCAGGAGAAGCAUCCGGACGACGGCGCACCACCCCGUGUGCUCUCUCCGGGACAGCGCUGCCGAUCUGCUGCCCGUAACCAGACCCAUUGUUUGAGUCCGCCGGGACUCCACCGUUGGCCAAGCUCUCCAGCAGAAAGGCCAGAGGCGCUGGAUCUGUGUGAUCCAAGCUAUCGGCGAACUCCUCCCGGAGCGGGAACCUGAUCUCAAGUGGCAACCAGCGCCGGUCAUGGCCAGCGUUAGCUUAUUUCUCCCGGCGUGCCUGCUGACACUGCUUACCCCAAAAAACAUAUUAGAUCCCCCGGGAACUAACUGUCCACGGCAUCAAGCAAGAACUCAUGCACACAAUCUUCCAUCUUCUAGUUUCUGGUACAGAUCAAGCGCCGCCGCCUGUCCUCCCGUAAUCCAUGAAGGCGGAACAGAGGUGAUUUCUGCGGGUAGAGGGGUGGAGACGACUCCAGAUGUCGCCGUUUUAUCCAAACGGGCUGCACACUUUUCUGAUCCAUGGCUCGGUACAAAACCAAACGUCCUGGUCCACGGACCAUAACUGGCAAGCGAAACGGGCCUUUCCCCGCGUACGAUCUGGCCCACAAAAGCUCCAUUGUUUCCUACUGUAUAUCGAAUACAACCCUUUUUCCCCGUUCCGCAGCAGACGCGCCAGCAGGAUUUGUUCGCAUCCCGAGUAACGAGCGGACGACGAAGAUUUCGGGAGCAUCUGGGCUCGAGCACCGAAUCGCCGCCUUCAUCAAUUUUGUCCUACGUUGGAAGUGAAAAGAGUAGGCAAAUAAAUGUAUGUAGGCCAAAAAGGAUAUUCUACGUGAUGUAAAAUGACGAGCACAAAAUGUACACAUAAAUGUAAAUUUUGUGUUUUUGUGACUCAUACUUAAUUUUUCUUGUACUGGUUUUGGCGUAGUGAAUCGAUAUAAACCUAAUUAUUCGUGUAAGUCGCGCUAACUGGUGCAGAGACCAACUACAACCGAGAAGUUAAGCAAACUAUUUUUUGACCAACUACAACGGAGAAGUUAAGCAAACUAUUUUUUGACCAACUGACCAGUUACAACUUAGAAGUUAGAUAAACUAUUUAAAAAGUGAAGUGAACAGUCUAAGAGUAUCUUCAAUAGAGGGUCCAAAUUUUGGCGGUCCAAAACCGGAGAUGUAAAAUUUGGACCACCAAAAAGUGCAUUUUGAAGCUCCGAAAAACGCUCAACUCCAACCGAUGGUCCAAAUUGAUGGUCCAAAAAAGCAACUCCAAUAGAUGGUCCGAACCAAAGAUAUAAAAAUCUGAAAACGGUCGCGCGGCUGCUGCCAGCCACUGCUCAGUCGUGGUUUUGCAUUGAAAUAGCAUCAAAAAUUUGAAACUAAAGUGCAUCAUCAUCAUAGUUUCAAUCAGAAGUGCAUCACCAUCAUAGUAUCAAAUCCCUCUACCAAAAGAGCAUCGUCUCAAUCAAAGUUUUUCGCCCUAGAAAUUGAAAUGCACAUGAAUAUUACUCAUGCGGGUCAUCAACACCACCGGCGUUGUGAACCGUGGUACGAUCAUCAUCUUCACUUGUGUGGACCAACGUUGGCAUAGAGAGUCGCUCGAACGGAAGUGACCACUUGUGUUGCACUCAUCGAAGUACUCCUUGAUGUGUUGCCAAUAGGUGUUCACCGUUUGGUCGCUUCCAACGCUUGCAUCUUGAGAGGUUUUCUUCCAAGCGGUGCAUAUCAACACAUCCUCCGCGGUGGUAUAAUUUCCACUUCUUCCCUUGACAACAAAGCCCUCAUCGUCCACAUCAAGAUUGUCAUCAUCAUAUUGGGUUUCAUAUUCUUGUGACGCAUACAUGUAAUCAUCAUUUGCCACAUUUGCCGCGUGCAUGAAAGCUUCAUCAUCAAAACUACAAUUGGACGCACAAACAAUCAAGAACACAUACAAUUUGAAACAACAAACGAGAGCACAACCGGAAAAUACCUUUGCGACAUUUCGUCGAACAUGUUGGAGGUGGUGGCCGUCGGCGUGGCCACAUCUUCCUCGACGGCCCACGGUGGCGGCGGGGGAGGUUGAGGAAUGGAUGUGUGGCUGCUGGAGGAGGCCGCCGGCCGCACAGGCUACGAGUCGUCGCCCCGAGUCGCCGCGGCCGCCUUGGAGACCUUCACCGGCCGCGUAGAACUGUCGGUCGGGUUGCGGCUGCGGUUGGCCGACCGUUUUCCGCCGCCUCAUCCCUUCGCCGGCUUCGCCGCCGGCGCGGUGGCCACCGGCCGGGGCGGUGCAAAUCCGGACCGACGGACGGGGACGACGGCAUGGCAGCGGUUGCGGGCGAGAUGGCAGCGGCGGCCACGUGGGUCAGCCCACCGGCUGCGGCGGCGGAGGAGAAGGCGGCGGGGUCAUCGCCGGAAGGCGGGGGGCGGUGGCGGCCGGGCGGGUUGCGGGCGGGCGGACGGGCGCGGGCGGGCGGGAAAGGAAAGGAACUGGCGGUUUGGCGUUCGCGGACAGCGGCUGGUUUUGGACCAGAUGCACCUCGUGAUGUAAAUUUGCAACGCGAGGUGUUGUAUUUUAGAUCACGAGGAGGCCGUGGUCCAAUUUUUUUUACAUAUGGACCGUCUGUUGGAGCAGCGUUUUUUGCCCCAGACGGUCCAAAAGUUAGGUAUUUUUACAUUUGGACCGUCUAUUGGAGACGCUCUAAAGAGGCCAAUUACAAUGAUCGACGCAAAGUCCAAUUGCAACCAAGAAGAUAAGCGACCAACUGCAACCUACUCCUUCCGCCCCAUAAUAUAAGAUGUUUUUCUGACACAACACUAUUGUCAGAAAACAUCUUACAUUAUGGAAAAGAGGGAGUAUAAGUUAAGCGAAUUAUUUGAAAGUUUUUUCUCAACUGUUUGCAAAUGAUUAUAUUUAUAUUGUGUUGGUAUUUGCCUUGACGAUGAUCAUUCCAUAGCUUUAUUUAUUGAUAAACAAGCCGUUUGUUGAGCAACUGAAUGUACUCUGAGAUAUUUUCUUAAUACUCAGGCCUUUCCUCAUCUCAUAAUUGCGACGAAAAACUAAUAACAGAGAAAUUAAGUAAACAAUUUGAAUGGUGUUUUCGGAGAAUUUCCUGUAAAUGAUUAUGUUCUUAUUGCAUUUGUAGUUACCUUGUAUAUUUACCAACGACGGAUUAUCAUUGCCCAUGGGCUUCGUUGGCCGGCCAGGACAAGCAGACGACAUCAUCGAUAGAAACACUAACCACACCCUGAUGCGGAGUAUCCUACAUACAUCUUUAUGUCGAGAGUCCAUUCGGCAAGUGACACGUUCGACAUCUGCUUCACAUACAUAAAGGUGAAUCAUCUUCUUUACACGUGUUCACUUGAUCCCUUUGAGGAUGGUAUUCCACUUGACACUCCUCUCGUGUGCACGCAUAGGUAUUGUCGGGACUUCACGGUUGACAAGGAGUGCAAGCAUCAAGGAACGACUACACCAUCCGCAAGGAAAGCAUGGAAGAGCAGACGGAAGAAAGAAGAAGACGACGGAGCGGCUGCUGAGCUGAACCCUGACAUCCGGAUGACCAUCCGAAUCAUUCGGGCAUUGAUACGUCUCCAACGUAUCUAUAAUUUUUUAUUGUUCCAUGUUGUUUUAUUAUCAAUCUUGGAUGUUUUAUAAUCAUUUUAUAGUCAUUUUAUAUCAUUUUUUGGUACUAACCUAUUGACAUAGUGCCAAGUGCCACUUGCUGUUUUUCCAUGUUUUUUACAUCGCAGGAAAUCAAUAUCAGAUGAAGUCCAAAUGCCACGAAACUCCACGAUAAUUUUUUAUGGGCCAGAAGGAAGGCAAUGGGCCCUAGUUGCACCUGGGGGGUGCCCCGAGGGGGGCACAACCCACCAGAGCGCGCCAGGAGGCCCAGGCGCGCCCUGGUGGGCUGUACCCACCUCGGGUGCCCCCCGGACCGCCUCUUUGCUCCAGAAACCCUAGAAGCAUCGACGAAAUAUUCAUCCAGCCGCCGUAGAGUCCAGAACCACCAGAUCCAAUCUAGACACCAUCACGGAGGGGUUCACCACUUCCAUUGGUGCCUCUCCGAUGAUGUGUGAGUAGUUCUUUGUAGACCUUCGGGUCCGUAGUUAGUAGCUAGAUGGCUUUCUCUCUCUCGUUGGAUUCUCAAUACAAUGGUCUCUUGGAGAUCCAUAUGAUGUAACUCUUUUGCGGUUUGUUUGUUGGGAUCCGAUGAACUUUGAGUUUAUGAUCAGUCAUAUCUUUUUAUAUCCAUGAAAGUUAUUUGAGUUUCUUUGAUCUCUUAUAUGCAUGAUCUCUUAUAGCCUCGUAUUUCUUCUCCGAUAUUUGGGUUUUGUUUGGCCAACUUGAUCUAUUUAUCUUGCAAUGGGAAGAGGUGCCCGGUAGUGGGUUCGAUGUUACGGUGCUCGAUCCCAGUGACAGAAGGGGAAAUGACACGUAUGUAUCGUUGCUACUAAGGAUAAAAAGACGAGAUCUAUAUCUACCACCAUAUAGAUAAACGGAUCUUGUCUACAUCACACUACUAGGGAAAAGCCUAUACACAGAGGUAUAGCAGUAGCGCUGGUUAAAAUAGGGCACUACUGCUACUUUGUAGCAGCGCGUUCCAGAAAAGCGCGCUAUAGCUACAACUAUAGCAGCAGCGCGUGUGCAGCAAAAAGCGCUACAACUAUAAAUCCCACCGUGUUGGCGGUAGGCUAGGAAUAGUAGUAGCGGUUCCGCGCAAAGUGCUCUACCACUAUGGUCGUUGUUGCGCGUUUCCUGCAUAGAGCGCUACUGCUAAGAAAGAAAAAAAAAAUGAAAAAAAUAGAAAAGUAAAUGAAAAUGAAAGAAGUAGGAAACAGAGAAAUAAAAAAAAGAAA
Molecule: long non-coding RNA, 32588 nt
Filed under: Triticum aestivum (bread wheat)
Lineage: Eukaryota; Viridiplantae; Streptophyta; Magnoliopsida; Poales; Poaceae
Description: long non-coding RNA (TAES_LNC024016)
Source: RNAcentral